GGGGCUGAUUUCAGCUUGACGGUGUACUUUACCAACUAGUUUGCAGGUCGGAAUGCACUGAACGUUAUCCGGUGCAAACCAAACAAAUGCAAUAGCAUUUAUUUCAGGAGGCGGUUUACUAGCUGCUUUCCGAAAGCGAUUUUCAAAUCCUUUCAAGGCUUUGGCUUUCGCACCAGCUUACGUCUAAAACACGUUUAGCCGCGCAUACAUCGACACCAGAUAGAAGUUAAUGCGUGUCAUAUCAUCUGGUUGCUCGAGACUUACUUUCCAUAAGUCUCGUUAAGACUUCGGAAUAGGAAACGCCACUUUUUGACCAUUUACCGGUAGCAUUUCCAAAUAAGGGCCUGCCAUGCAAGAUUACUCAAUCUGUGAACAAUCCUUGACGCAAUCAAGCAAUUUUUUGCUUCUCACCGUAUCGUUCAGAUACGCUUUGUCGUAAGAAAAUUACUUGCUUAUCGCCAAAUUAUUGCUCUCAAACCUUGAGUACCUUACAUGGCAGACCCUAUCAAAUGGCCUAAACCUGUAGAAGACUAGCUAGAUAAAACAUCGGACCCGGUUGCAAUCACCGGCAGCUCCACCA
Molecule: transfer-messenger RNA, 580 nt
Filed under: Candidatus Saccharimonadota bacterium
Lineage: Bacteria; Candidatus Saccharimonadota
Also listed under: 1 other name
Rfam family: transfer-messenger RNA
About the family: Bacterial tmRNA, also known as 10Sa RNA or SsrA, is named for its dual tRNA and mRNA-like properties. Its role is to liberate the mRNA from a stalled ribosome. To accomplish this part of the tmRNA is used as a reading frame that ends in a translation stop signal.
Source: RNAcentral